RNAcentral lists this long non-coding RNA (1862 nucleotides) under Homo sapiens (human). RNAcentral's name for it is "HSALNT0131614". The record is from RNAcentral. Lineage: Eukaryota; Metazoa; Chordata; Mammalia; Primates; Hominidae.
GUAAUGGAGGUGCUCUCUGGAGGUGACGGUUAAGGAAGUGCUCCUGGAGGUGAUGAUGAAAGAGAUGCUCCCUGGAGGUGAUGGAGGUGCUCCCUAGAGGUGACGGUGAUGGAGCUGCUCCCUGGAGGUGACAGCUAAGGAGGUACUCCUGGAGGUGAUGGUGAAGGAGGUGCUCCUGGAGGUGACAGUGAAGGAGGUGCUCCCUGGAGGUGAUGGUGACGGGGGUGCUUCUGGAGGUGAUGGUGAUUGAGGUGCUCCCUGGAGGUGAUGGAGGUGCCCCUGGAGGUGAUAGUGAAGGAGGUGCUCCCUGGAGGUGAUGGAGGUGCUGCUGGAAGUGAUGGUGAAGGAGAUGCUCCCUGGAGGUGAUGGUGAAGGAGGUGCUCCUAGAAGUGAAGGUGAUGGAGGUGCUCCCUGGAGGAGAUGGAAGUGCUCCUGGAGGUGACAGUGAAGGAGGUGCUCCCUCAAGGUCAUGGAGAUGCUCCUGGAAGUGACGAUGAAGGAGGUGCUCCCUGGAGGUGACAGUGAUGGAGGCGCUCCCUGGAGGUGAUGGUGAAGGAGGUGCUCCUGGAUGUGAUGGUGAUGGAGGUGUGGAGGUGCUCCCUGGAGGUGAUGGAAGUGCUCCUGGAGGCGACGGUGAAGGAGGUGCUCCCUGGAGGUGAUGGAGGUGCUCCUGGAGGUGAUGGAGGUGAUGGUGAAGGAGGUGCUCUCUGGAGGUGAUAGUGAUGGAGGUGCUUCCUGGAGGUGGUGGUGAAUACGGUGCUCCCUAGAGGUGACAGUGAAGGAGGUGCUCCCUGGAGAAGCCGAAGGCAGGCCUUGUCCCUCUAGCUACUUGGAGCCCCUAACACUGUCCUCAGUGCCGAUGCUUUUGGUUGCUACCGGGCACUUUCUUUAGGACACAGGCUGAGGAGGGACAGGGAUGGUGUCCCAGCAGCGUGAGCAUCUCCCAGUAGCAAAGGUGACAAACCAUUUCAGCUGGAGACGGAGAUGAAGCUGCAUAUUUAAGGCCAAGGAGUCUGUGCUGUGUCGGGGGCACUCGCCCCUGCUGAGGAGCCACUGCUGAACCUGGGGCUUAGAGAUGAGCCCUGAACCCAGCUCCAAAGUCUGCAGGCUCCACGUGCUGCUGGGCCCCCAACAAUGACAGGGCAGGAGCUUGGCUAUAGCCGCUCAACGAGUGUGCGUGGCCUGGGACCAUUCUAACAAACCAGGGGCUUAAAACAACAGAGGGUGCAUCUCAUGGUUCUGGAAGCCGGCAUCUGAGGUCAAGGCGUCCGUGAGGCCAUGCCCCUCCAAGGUGUGGAAGGCUCUUGGGGACCUCUCCUCACCUCACGACCCUCCCUGCAUGCCUCACCUGCAGACGCCUCACUCCACUCUCUGCCUCUGUCACAUGGCCUCCAUCCAAGGACCUGAAGCAGUGAUUGGGGCCCCCAACUCCAGGAUGACUUCAUCUGAGCCCAAAUCCAUCUGCAAAGACCCUCCUCCCAAACAGGGCGGCCCUUGUGGGGCCUGGGUUGGACUCAACCCUUCUUUUUGGAGACAAAAUUCAACCCCAAACACUAGACCGGUGGGAUUCCUACAACAACCCCAUCCGGGAAAGGCCAUGCCCUGCCCAGGGCCGAGAGCCAGCUCAGACUGGCCUCCAGCAAGGGCUGGACACAUGGCUCUCACAUCACCUCUAGUCCAAAACACGUGCUCCUUUCCCUCCAGCCAUUCCCUGGAAUCACCCCCCACCGCCCCCCACAGCUGUGACUCAGCUGUGAAGCCAGCAUGGCUCAGGAGGGGAGGGGAAAGAUGAGGAGGGGAGGGGAAAGAUGAGGAGGGGAGGGGAAAGAUGAGGAGGGGAGGGGAGGAAAGGAGAGGGGAGA